UACGGAGGGUGCGAGCGUUAAUCGGAAUUACUGGGCGUAAAGCGCGCGUAGGCGGUUUGUUAAGUCAGCUGUGAAAGCCCCGGGCUCAACCUGGGAACUGCAGUUGAUACUGUCCGACUAGAGUACGAGAGAGGGAGGUAGAAUUCCAUGUGUAGCGGUGAAAUGCGUAGAUAUAUGGAGGAAUACCAGUGGCGAAGGCGGCCUCCUGGCUCGAUACUGACGCUGAGACACGAAAGCGAGGGGAGCAAACAGG
Molecule: ribosomal RNA, 253 nt
Filed under: uncultured bacterium
Lineage: Bacteria
Description: partial 16S ribosomal RNA
Rfam family: Bacterial small subunit ribosomal RNA
Source: RNAcentral